Molecule: ribosomal RNA, 1485 nt
Filed under: uncultured bacterium
Lineage: Bacteria
Description: bacterial SSU rRNA
Rfam family: Bacterial small subunit ribosomal RNA
Source: RNAcentral
AGAGUUUGAUCCUGGCUCAGGAUGAACGCUAGCUACAGGCUUAACACAUGCAAGUCGAGGGGCAGCAGGAUCUAGCAAUAGAUUAGCUGGCGACCGGCGCACGGGUGAGUAACACGUAUCCAACCUGCCGAUAACUCGGGGAUAGCCUUUCGAAAGAAAGAUUAAUACCCGAUGGUAUAAUCAGACCGCAUGGUUUGAUUAUUAAAGAAUUUCGGUUAUCGAUGGGGAUGCGUUCCAUUAGGCAGUUGGUGAGGUAACGGCUCACCAAACCUUCGAUAGAUAGGGGUUCUGAGAGGAAGGUCCCCCACAUUGGAACUGAGACACGGUCCAAACUCCUACGGGAGGCAGCAGUGAGGAAUAUUGGUCAAUGGACGCGAGUCUGAACCAGCCAAGUAGCGUGAAGGAUGACUGCCCUAUGGGUUGUAAACUUCUUUUAUAUGGGAAUAAAGUUUUCCACGUGUGGAAUUUUGUAUGUACCAUAUGAAUAAGGAUCGGCUAACUCCGUGCCAGCAGCCGCGGUAAUACGGAGGAUCCGAGCGUUAUCCGGAUUUAUUGGGUUUAAAGGGAGCGUAGGUGGACAGUUAAGUCAGUUGUGAAAGUUUGCGGCUCAACCGUAAAAUUGCAGUUGAUACUGGCUGUCUUGAGUACAGUAGAGGUGGGCGGAAUUCGUGGUGUAGCGGUGAAAUGCUUAGAUAUCACGAAGAACUCCGAUUGCGAAGGCAGCUCACUGGACUGCAACUGACACUGAUGCUCGAAAGUGUGGGUAUCAAACAGGAUUAGAUACCCUGGUAGUCCACACAGUAAACGAUGAAUACUCGCUGUUUGCGAUAUACAGUAAGCGGCCAAGCGAAAGCAUUAAGUAUUCCACCUGGGGAGUACGCCGGCAACGGUGAAACUCAAAGGAAUUGACGGGGGCCCGCACAAGCGGAGGAACAUGUGGUUUAAUUCGAUGAUACGCGAGGAACCUUACCCGGGCUUAAAUUGCAUUUGAAUAUAUUGGAAACAGUAUAGCCGUAAGGCAAAUGUGAAGGUGCUGCAUGGUUGUCGUCAGCUCGUGCCGUGAGGUGUCGGCUUAAGUGCCAUAACGAGCGCAACCCUUAUCUUUAGUUACUAACAGGUCAUGCUGAGGACUCUAGAGAGACUGCCGUCGUAAGAUGUGAGGAAGGUGGGGAUGACGUCAAAUCAGCACGGCCCUUACGUCCGGGGCUACACACGUGUUACAAUGGGGGGUACAGAAGGCAGCUACCUGGUGACAGGAUGCUAAUCCCAAAAGCCUCUCUCAGUUCGGAUCGAAGUCUGCAACCCGACUUCGUGAAGCUGGAUUCGCUAGUAAUCGCGCAUCAGCCAUGGCGCGGUGAAUACGUUCCCGGGCCUUGUACACACCGCCCGUCAAGCCAUGAAAGCCGGGGGUACCUGAAGUACGUAACCGCAAGGAGCGUCCUAGGGUAAAACUGGUAAUUGGGGCUAAGUCGUAACAAGGUAGCC